Long non-coding RNA from Lemur catta (Ring-tailed lemur), 674 nucleotides. RefSeq lists it as uncharacterized. NCBI's taxonomy places the organism in Eukaryota, Metazoa, Chordata, Mammalia, Primates, Lemuridae. The transcript has 3 exons. The record is from RefSeq and is a predicted model, not a curated record.
UGACUAUUCAUGAUCAGAGAUGGCACUGGGAGAGAAGUAACUGAGGAAGAAAGAAAAUGCCAACUCACCUGUUCUCAGAUGGUGGUCAGCCUUCCUAAAUGUGGCCCCUGCUGACAGAGGGGAAGAAAUGCAGCUGAAUUUGAGAAAAAGUGCCCAUUAUAUCAUUAAGGAGGGUUGAAUUGUACGGAGAUGGAUGAAACUCGUGGUUAUUUGCCUACAGAACACUGCAGGUGACAGUCCUCUCUAAGUGAUCUUGAUUAGAAAAAUGGCUGAGAUGAAGGAGUUAAAAUGCAACAGACACAUCUCUUUGAUUUCCUCAAGAAUCCAGUGAAAUAACUCUCUCACCACCACACAUGGAGAUGCCAUACCCUUUAAAGCAACAUUUCCCCAGUGGACAACCUAUAUUUUGAGAAAUAAGCAAAACAACAAAAACAAAAACAUUUCAAAAUCAGAAUUGUACUCUGCACAGUCUCCCUGAAGGAGUCACUUAAAUCCAAGUGGUCCAUUCCUUUAGUGCAAUGAAACCAUUAGUGUGCAAAUUGUUUUAUGGAGAAAGGAAGCUAAAAGAGUGUAAAUGUAUAACAAUUGCAUAUUAGUCUUUUUCCCUGAUCAUAUUUCCAGUAUAUAUGCCUCUGGCCAAAAAGCUAAGCACAGUAGCAUUUUCAGAAUACAGA